RNAcentral lists this ribosomal RNA (519 nucleotides) under uncultured bacterium. RNAcentral's name for it is "bacterial SSU rRNA". It matches the Rfam family "Bacterial small subunit ribosomal RNA", at positions 996 to 1518 of the family's 1533-position model. The record is from RNAcentral.
GGACAGCAACGUGUCCCUUCCUUCGGGACAGGCGAGACAGGUGGUGCAUGGUUGUCGUCAGCUCGUGUCGUGAGAUGUUGGGUUAAGUCCCGCAACGAGCGCAACCCCUAUUUCCAGUAGCCAGCAGUGAGAUGGGAACUCUGGAGAGACUGCCGGGGACAACCCGGAGGAAGGUGGGGACGACGCCAAAUCAUCAUGCCCCUUAUGGGCUGGGCUACACACGUGCUACAAUGGUGCCAGCAGAGUGAGGCGACCCCGCGAGGGCAGGCAAAUCACAAAAAUGGCAUCUCAGUUCGGAUUGCAGUCUGCAACUCGACUGCAUGAAGCUGGAAUCGCUAGUAAUCGCGAAUCAGAAUGUCGCGGUGAAUACGUUCCCGGGUCUUGUACACACCGCCCGUCACACCAUGGGAGUUGGGAAUGCCCGAAGCCGGUGACCUAACCGAGAGGGAGGAGCCGUCGAAGGCAGGCUCGAUAACUGGGGUGAAGUCGUAACAAGGUAGCCGUAUCGGAAGGUGCGGU